GGGUUGUGAGGUUAAGCGACUAAGCGUACACGGUGGAUGCCCUGGCAGUCAGAGGCGAUGAAGGGCGUGCUAAUCUGCGAUAAGCGCCGGUAAGGUGAUAUGAACCGUUAUAACCGGCGAUACCCGAAUGGGGAAACCCAGUGUGAUUCGUCACACUAUCAUUAACUGAAUCCAUAGGUUAAUGAGGCGAACCGGGGGAACUGAAACAUCUAAGUACCCCGAGGAAAAGAAAUCAACCGAGAUUCCCCCAGUAGCGGCGAGCGAACGGGGAGGAGCCCAGAGCCUGAAUCAGCAUGUGUGUUAGUGGAAGCGUCUGGAAAGGUGCGCGAUACAGGGUGACAGCCCCGUACACAAAAGCGCAUGUGCUGUGAGCUCGAUGAGUAGGGCGGGACACGUGGUAUCCUGUCUGAAUAUGGGGGGACCAUCCUCCAAGGCUAAAUACUCCUGACUGACCGAUAGUGAACCAGUACCGUGAGGGAAAGGCGAAAAGAACCCCGGCGAGGGGAGUGAAAAAGAACCUGAAACCGUGUACGUACAAGCAGUGGGAGCACCCUUCGGGGUGUGACUGCGUACCUUUUGUAUAAUGGGUCAGCGACUUAUAUUCUGUAGCAAGGUUAACCGUAUAGGGGAGCCGGAGGGAAACCGAGUCUUAACCGGGCGUUAAGUUGCAGGGUAUAGACCCGAAACCCGGUGAUCUAGCCAUGGGCAGGUUGAAGGUUGGGUAACACUAACUGGAGGACCGAACCGACUAAUGUUGAAAAAUUAGCGGAUGACCUGUGGCUGGGGGUGAAAGGCCAAUCAAACCGGGAGAUAGCUGGUUCUCCCCGAAAGCUAUUUAGGUAGCGCCUCGUGAAUUCAUCUCCGGGGGUAGAGCACUGUUUCGGCUAGGGGGCCAUCCCGGCUUACCAACCCGAUGCAAACUGCGAAUACCGGAGAAUGUUAUCACGGGAGACACACGGCGGGUGCUAACGUCCGUCGUGAAGAGGGAAACAACCCAGACCGCCAGCUAAGGUCCCAAAGUCAUGGUUAAGUGGGAAACGAUGUGGGAAGGCCCAGACAGCCAGGAUGUUGGCUUAGAAGCAGCCAUCAUUUAAAGAAAGCGUAAUAGCUCACUGGUCGAGUCGGCCUGCGCGGAAGAUGUAACGGGGCUAAACCAUGCACCGAAGCUGCGGCAGCGAACGUAUCACCCAAGACAACUUUACGGAGUUGACGAUUGACGGAGCGAAGCGACGUCAAAGCGUUCAUUAAAGUCGAGUUGGCUUAGGGAUACGUUCGUUGGGUAGGGGAGCGUUCUGUAAGCCUGUGAAGGUGUGUCGUGAGGCAUGCUGGAGGUAUCAGAAGUGCGAAUGCUGACAUAAGUAACGAUAAAGCGGGUGAAAAGCCCGCUCGCCGGAAGACCAAGGGUUCCUGUCCAACGUUAAUCGGGGCAGGGUGAGUCGACCCCUAAGGCGAGGCCGAAAGGCGUAGUCGAUGGGAAACGGGUUAAUAUUCCCGUACUUGGUGUUACUGCGAAGGGGGACGGAGAAGGCUAUGUUGGCCGGGCGACGGUUGUCCCGGUUUAAGCGUGUAGGUGUGUGUUCCAGGUAAAUCCGGUUCACUUUAACACUGAGGCGUGACGACGAGGCACUACGGUGCUGAAGCAACAAAUGCCCUGCUUCCAGGAAAAGCCUCUAAGCAUCAGGUAACACGAAAUCGUACCCCAAACCGACACAGGUGGUCAGGUAGAGAAUACCAAGGCGCUUGAGAGAACUCGGGUGAAGGAACUAGGCAAAAUGGUGCCGUAACUUCGGGAGAAGGCACGCUGACACGUAGGUGAAGUGAUUUACUCAUGGAGCUGAAGUCAGUCGAAGAUACCAGCUGGCUGCAACUGUUUAUUAAAAACACAGCACUGUGCAAACACGAAAGUGGACGUAUACGGUGUGACGCCUGCCCGGUGCCGGAAGGUUAAUUGAUGGGGUCAGCGCAAGCGAAGCUCCUGAUCGAAGCCCCGGUAAACGGCGGCCGUAACUAUAACGGUCCUAAGGUAGCGAAAUUCCUUGUCGGGUAAGUUCCGACCUGCACGAAUGGCGUAAUGAUGGCCAGGCUGUCUCCACCCGAGACUCAGUGAAAUUGAACUCGCUGUGAAGAUGCAGUGUACCCGCGGCAAGACGGAAAGACCCCGUGAACCUUUACUAUAGCUUGACACUGAACAUUGAGCCUUGAUGUGUAGGAUAGGUGGGAGGCUUUGAAGUGUGGACGCCAGUCUGCAUGGAGCCGACCUUGAAAUACCACCCUUUAAUGUUUGAUGUUCUAACGUGGACCCGUAAUCCGGGUUGCGGACAGUGUCUGGUGGGUAGUUUGACUGGGGCGGUCUCCUCCUAAAGAGUAACGGAGGAGCACGAAGGUUGGCUAAUCCUGGUCGGACAUCAGGAGGUUAGUGCAAUGGCAUAAGCCAGCUUGACUGCGAGCGUGACGGCGCGAGCAGGUGCGAAAGCAGGUCAUAGUGAUCCGGUGGUUCUGAAUGGAAGGGCCAUCGCUCAACGGAUAAAAGGUACUCCGGGGAUAACAGGCUGAUACCGCCCAAGAGUUCAUAUCGACGGCGGUGUUUGGCACCUCGAUGUCGGCUCAUCACAUCCUGGGGCUGAAGUAGGUCCCAAGGGUAUGGCUGUUCGCCAUUUAAAGUGGUACGCGAGCUGGGUUUAGAACGUCGUGAGACAGUUCGGUCCCUAUCUGCCGUGGGCGCUGGAGAACUGAGGGGGGCUGCUCCUAGUACGAGAGGACCGGAGUGGACGCAUCACUGGUGUUCGGGUUGUCAUGCCAAUGGCACUGCCCGGUAGCUAAAUGCGGAAGAGAUAAGUGCUGAAAGCAUCUAAGCACGAAACUUGCCCCGAGAUGAGUUCUCCCUGAGACUUAGAGUCUCCUGAAGGAACGUUGAAGACGACGACGUUGAUAGGCCGGGUGUGUAAGCGCAGCGAUGCGUUGAGCUAACCGGUACUAAUGAACCGUGAGGCUUAACCUUACAACGCCGAAG
This 3010-nucleotide ribosomal RNA is filed under the name Salmonella enterica subsp. enterica. RNAcentral describes it as "bacterial LSU rRNA". It matches the Rfam family "Bacterial large subunit ribosomal RNA". The record is from RNAcentral. Lineage: Bacteria; Pseudomonadati; Pseudomonadota; Gammaproteobacteria; Enterobacterales; Enterobacteriaceae. RNAcentral also lists the same sequence under 1 other name.